AGCGAACGCUGGCGGCAGGCUUAACACAUGCAAGUCGAGCGGGCACUUUCGGGUGUCAGCGGCGGACGGGUGGGUAACGCGGGGGAACGUGCCCUCUGGUUCGGAAUUACUCAGUGGAACUGGAUCUAAUACCGGAUACGCCCUUUUUACGGAAUGCUUGCUGCCGGAGGAGCGGGCCGCUUCUGAUUAGCUGGUUGGUUGGGUAACGGCGCACCAAGGCGACGAUAAGUAGCUGGUCUGAGAGGAUAAUCAGACACACUGGGACUGAGAAACGGCCCAGACUACUGGGGGAGGCAGGCGUGGGGAAUAUUGGAAAACGGGCGCAAGCCUGAUCCAGCCCUGCCGCGUGAGUGAUGAAGGCCUUAGGGUUGUACAGCUCUUUUAUCCGGGACGAUACUGACGGUACCGGAGGAAUAAGCCCCGGCUAACUUCGUG
RNAcentral lists this ribosomal RNA (435 nucleotides) under uncultured bacterium. RNAcentral describes it as "partial 16S ribosomal RNA". It matches the Rfam family "Bacterial small subunit ribosomal RNA", at positions 29 to 507 of the family's 1533-position model. The record is from RNAcentral.